Molecule: ribosomal RNA, 402 nt
Filed under: uncultured microorganism
Description: bacterial SSU rRNA
Rfam family: Bacterial small subunit ribosomal RNA
Source: RNAcentral
GAGUUUGAUCUUGGCUCAGAGUGAACGCUGGCGGUAGGCCUAACACAUGCAAGUCGAACGGCAGCACAGAGGAGCUUGCUCCUUGGGUGGCGAGUGGCGGACGGGUGAGGAAUACAUCGGAAUCUACUCUGUCGUGGGGGAUAACGUAGGGAAACUUACGCUAAUACCGCAUACGACCUACGGGUGAAAGCAGGGGAUCUUCGGACCUUGCGCGAUUGAAUGAGCCGAUGUCGGAUUAGCUAGUUGGCGGGGUAAAGGCCCACCAAGGCGACGAUCCGUAGCUGGUCUGAGAGGAUGAUCAGCCACACUGGAACUGAGACACGGUCCAGACUCCUACGGGAGGCAGCAGUGGGGAAUAUUGGACAAUGGGCGCAAGCCUGAUCCAGCCAUACCGCGUGGGUG